This 289-nucleotide long non-coding RNA is filed under the name Vigna radiata. Its description in RNAcentral is "long non-coding RNA (VRAD_LNC001707)". Lineage: Eukaryota; Viridiplantae; Streptophyta; Magnoliopsida; Fabales; Fabaceae. The record is from RNAcentral.
GGGACUUAGACUCAUGAAAGAAGAAGAAAAAGGAUGAAAAGAAGAGUCAAGUGAACCGUUCAGCGCCAUUGCUUCUCGCUUGAGCGGCACUGCUGAGCUUCCUGUGCGAUUAGAUGGCCACUGCUGAGUGGCGCAUUGGACCGCUGAGCGGUUUUGCGAUUAGAGGCAAACCGCUCAGUGGCCAAAUUAGGUGCUGAGUGUCCAUUAGAUGGGCUUGGGCUUAAUUUCUAUUACUUUUAUGCACUAUAAAUAGCCCUAGUGCGAUUCACAAUGUAAACCUUUGGCAGGC